CUCAAUGAAAAUUUAAUAGCCGCAAUAUUCUUGUGCUAAGGUAGCAUAAUCAUUUGUCUUUUAAUUAAAGACUAGAACGAAAGAUCUUAUAUUUUUAUUUCUCUCUUAUAUAUAAAUUAUUUAACUUAUUCUAAAUAUUAAAAAAUAUUUAUAACCUAAAAAGACGACAAGACCCUAUUGAACUUAACUAAAGUUAAACUGGGGUAGUUAAUUAAAUACAAUUUUAAUUUAAAAUUUAAAAACAACCUAAUAUAAUUAAAUUUAUUAAGUUACCAUAGGGAUAACAGCGUAAUAAAUUUCUAAAGAUCUCAUCUAAAAAUUUGCUUACGACCUCGAUGUUGAAUUAAUAAUCUAUUAAAUGCAAUAAUUUAAUAAGAAAGUCUGUUCGACUU
This 392-nucleotide ribosomal RNA is filed under the name Draconarius sp. SD033. RNAcentral's name for it is "partial 16S ribosomal RNA". Lineage: Eukaryota; Metazoa; Arthropoda; Arachnida; Araneae; Agelenidae. The record is from RNAcentral.